UACAAGUGAGGCUACCGAACGUUGGAAACAGCGGUUAGGAGCUUACACCCACCCGUGUUUACAUACUAUUGUUGCUUUGGCGGGCCGUGGCCUCCACUGCGGGCUCUGCUCGUGUGUGCCCGCCAGAGGACCAAACUCUGAAUGUUAGUGAUGUCUGAGUACUAUCUAAUAGUUAAAACUUUCAACAACGGAUCUCUUGGUUCUGGCAUCGAUGAAGAACGCAGCGAAAUGCGAUAAGUAAUGUGAAUUGCAGAAUUCAGUGAAUCAUCGAAUCUUUGAACGCACAUUGCGCCCUGUGGUAUUCCGCAGGGCAUGCCUGUUCGAGCGUCAUUUAACCACUCACGCCUAGCGUGGUAUUGGGGCACGCGGUCUCGCGGCCCUCAAAAUUAGUGGCGGCGCCGGUGGGCUCUAAGCGUAGUACAUACUCCCGCUAUAGAGUUCCCCCGGUGGCUCGCCAGAACCCCCAAUUUUUUACAGGUUGACCUCGGAUCAGGUAGGGAUACCCGCUGAACUUAAGCAUAUCA
This 524-nucleotide ribosomal RNA is filed under the name Phialocephala cf. fortinii GPO_CO_04_E11. RNAcentral describes it as "eukaryotic LSU rRNA". The stretch from base 177 to 330 matches the Rfam family "5.8S ribosomal RNA". The record is from RNAcentral. Lineage: Eukaryota; Fungi; Ascomycota; Leotiomycetes; Helotiales; Mollisiaceae.